UACGGAGGGUGCAAGCGUUGUUCGGAAUUAUUGGGCGUAAAGCGCGUGUAGGUGGUGAGGUAAGUCACGUGUGAAAUCCCCCGGCUUAACCGGGGACGUGCAUGUGAUACUGCUUUACUUGAGUACCGGAGGGGGCAGCGGAAUUCCAUGUGUAGGAGUGAAAUCCGUAGAUAUAUGGAGGAACACCGGUGGCGAAGGCGGCUGCCUGGCCGAGUACUGACAUUGAGACGCGAAAGUGUGGGGAGCAAACAGG
This 253-nucleotide unclassified non-coding RNA is filed under the name uncultured Desulfuromonadales bacterium. RNAcentral describes it as "contains 16S-23S intergenic spacer region". It matches the Rfam family "Bacterial small subunit ribosomal RNA", at positions 524 to 776 of the family's 1533-position model. The record is from RNAcentral. Lineage: Bacteria; Pseudomonadati; Thermodesulfobacteriota; Desulfuromonadia; Desulfuromonadales.